RNAcentral lists this ribosomal RNA (617 nucleotides) under uncultured bacterium. RNAcentral describes it as "bacterial SSU rRNA". It matches the Rfam family "Bacterial small subunit ribosomal RNA", at positions 338 to 947 of the family's 1533-position model. The record is from RNAcentral.
CCUACGGGAGGCAGCAGUGGGGAAUUUUGGACAAUGGGCGCAAGCCUGAUCCAGCCAUGCCGCGUGUGGGAAGAAGGCCUUCGGGUUGUAAACCACUUUUGUCAGGGAAGAAACGGCUCUUACUAAUAUUAGGAGCUAAUGACGGUACCUGAAGAAUAAGCACCGGCUAACUACGUGCCAGCAGCCGCGGUAAUACGUAGGGUGCAAGCGUUAAUCGGAAUUACUGGGCGUAAAGCGUGCGCAGGCGGCUUUGCAAGACAGAUGUGAAAUCCCCGGGCUCAACCUGGGAACUGCAUUUGUGACUGCAUGGCUAGAGUACGGUAGAGGGGGAUGGAAUUCCGCGUGUAGCAGUGAAAUGCGUAGAUAUGCGGAGGAACACCGAUGGCGAAGGCAAUCCCCUGGACCUGUACUGACGCUCAUGCACGAAAGCGUGGGGAGCAAACAGGAUUAGAUACCCUGGUAGUCCACGCCCUAAACGAUGUCAACUGGUUGUUGGACGGCUUGCUGUUCAGUAACGAAGCUAACGCGUGAAGUUGACCGCCUGGGGAGUACGGCCGCAGGUUGAAACUCAAAGGAUUGACGGCUGAGACGNGCGACGACGACGACGAGGGAGGAGG